AAAUUGAAGAGUUUGAUCAUGGCUCAGAUUGAACGCUGGCGGCAGGCCUAACACAUGCAAGUCGAGCGGUAACACAGAGAGCUUGCUCUCGGGUGACGAGCGGCGGACGGGUGAGUAAUGUCUGGGAAACUGCCUGAUGGAGGGGGAUAACUACUGGAAACGGUAGCUAAUACCGCAUAACGUCGCAAGACCAAAGUGGGGGACCUUCGGGCCUCAUGCCAUCAGAUGUGCCCAGAUGGGAUUAGCUAGUAGGUGGGGUAAUGGCUCACCUAGGCAACGAUCCCUAGCUGGUCUGAGAGGAUGACCAGCCACACUGGAACUGAGACACGGUCCAGACUCCUACGGGAGGCAGCAGUGGGGAAUAUUGCACAAUGGGCGCAAGCCUGAUGCAGCCAUGCCGCGUGUAUGAAGAAGGCCUUCGGGUUGUAAAGUACUUUCAGCGAGGAGGAAGGCAUUAAGGUUAAUAACCUUAG
RNAcentral lists this ribosomal RNA (473 nucleotides) under Klebsiella aerogenes. Its description in RNAcentral is "bacterial SSU rRNA". It matches the Rfam family "Bacterial small subunit ribosomal RNA", at positions 1 to 472 of the family's 1533-position model. Lineage: Bacteria; Pseudomonadati; Pseudomonadota; Gammaproteobacteria; Enterobacterales; Enterobacteriaceae. The record is from RNAcentral.